This 82-nucleotide ribosomal RNA is filed under the name Toxoplasma gondii ME49. RNAcentral's name for it is "Toxoplasma gondii rRNA TGME49_459820". Lineage: Eukaryota; Apicomplexa; Conoidasida; Eucoccidiorida; Sarcocystidae. The record is from RNAcentral.
ACCUUGUUACGACUUCUCCUUCCUCUAAGUGUUAAAGGUCACAAAACUUCCCAUUUCGGGCACGAACGCGCCACAAAACGGU